Molecule: ribosomal RNA, 749 nt
Filed under: uncultured archaeon
Lineage: Archaea
Description: bacterial SSU rRNA
Rfam family: Archaeal small subunit ribosomal RNA
Source: RNAcentral
GGCGAUGGACGCUGGAAUGCCUCAUCGCCCAAAGCUCCGGCGCUCGAGGAUGAGACUGCGGCCUAUCAGGCUGUUGGUGGUGUAACGGACCACCAAACCUACGACGGGUAUGGGCAAUGAGAGUUGGAGCCCAGAGAUGGGGACUGAGACAAGGCCCCAGGCCCUACGGGGCGCAGCAGGCGCGAAAACUCCGCAAUGCGCGAAAGCGUGACGGGGGAACCCCAAGUGCCGUUGGUCUUUUGAUCGACGGCUUUUCGGAAGUCUAGGAAGCUUCCGGAAUAAGGGCUGGGCAAGUCUGGUGCCAGCCGCCGCGGUAAUACCAGCAGCCCAAGUGGUGGUCGCGUUUAUUGGGCCUAAAGCGCUCGUAGCCGGGUCUGUAAGUCCCUUGUGAACUCUGACGGCUCAACCGUUCGGCUUGCAAGGGAGACUGCUAGCCUUGGAACCGGGAGAGGUCGGGGGUACUUCGGGGGUAGCGGUGAAAUGCUGUAAUCCCUGGGGGACCACCAGUGGCGAAGGCGCCCGGCCAGAACGGAUUCGACGGUGAGGGGCGAAGGCUGGGGGAGCGAACGGGAUUAGAUACCCCGGUAGUCCCAGCUGUAAAGGAUGCGGGCUGGGUGUCAGGUGCCCUUCGAGAGCACCUGGUGCCGUAGGGAAGCCGUUAAGCCCGCCGCCUGGGAAGUACGGUCGCAAGGCUGAAACUUAAAGAAAUUGGCGGGGGAGCACCACAAGGGGUGGGACCUGCGGUUUAA